AUGAAGUUUCUAUAUGCCCUACCAUACUCACAUAAUUUCUGUUCUAAUUGGGUUUCUGCACCAUGGGUGCAACGGGACAUCGGGUUCCUUUCUAUUGACCCGAAAUCAAUGGUUAUUGAACAAAUUAAUUAUCACUCCGCUGAGGUUGAAGGUGAUCACACCUUGAUUGCUGGUGAUGAUAUGAUUCAGUCAAGAUGUGAUGAUGGCAGCUUUGUGGGUGAGAGCAUAAGAAAGAGACCACAAUCAAGUCGAUGCAAGAUCCUGCCGAUUCAGCAAGGAAGAGGAGAAGACAGAGCCGUCCACGAAAAUGACUGGAUAUAUGCCAUAUUCUCCUUGACAACCCCUUUUCGCUGGUUAGGCCCAGCCCAGCAAACGUCUGUGGGCAACAUGAGCUCCGUGUGA
Molecule: ribosomal RNA, 402 nt
Filed under: Triticum aestivum (bread wheat)
Lineage: Eukaryota; Viridiplantae; Streptophyta; Magnoliopsida; Poales; Poaceae
Description: partial small subunit ribosomal RNA
Source: RNAcentral